Molecule: long non-coding RNA, 1352 nt
Organism: Bos taurus (domestic cattle)
Lineage: Eukaryota; Metazoa; Chordata; Mammalia; Artiodactyla; Bovidae
Source: Ensembl
AGGGAUGCUGAGUACAGGGCCAACACCCUGCUUUUGCUUCCAAUUCUUGAGAAGUAGCAGUUGGGUUUUUAGUCUUUUUUCUUAUUGUUCAUAAUUUGUCCCAACUAUACAUGCAUGCAGUUAUUUUUAGUUCCUUACAGUUUCUUUGUAUUUCAUUGCUCCAGAAGAGGAGAGGUUUGUCCAGGUGGAAGCACUGCAGCAAAGGGCCCCAGGGACCAGUUUCCAGCCUGUUUCAAAUUCCUUGAGAAGGUGGCCCAUGCACUCCAGAGCCAUCGUGAUGGAAAUAAGCCCAGAAAGGGGUCAUGUAUGGAUGUGAGAGUUGGACUCUAAAGAAAGCUGAGUGCUGAAGAAUUGAUGUUUUUGAAUUGUGGUAUUGGAGAAGACUCUUGAGAGUCCCUUGGACUGCAAGGAGAUCCUACCAGUCCAUUCUAAAGGAAAUCAGUCCUGAAUAGUCAUUGGAAGAACUGAAGCUGAAGCUGAAGCUGAAACUCCAGUACUUUGGCCACCUGACGGGAAGAACUGACUCAUUGGAAAAGACCCUGAUGCUGGGAAAGAUUGAAGAAUGGAGGCAAAGAAUCACACUUAAAGAGAUUUUUGUGAGAAUUCAGCAUUGCCAUGGAGAUGGAAUGGGCAGAAGGAGUGGGCUGCGGUGUGGAGCAGACCCUACUUCUCGACUGACUGCUGCAGUCCCCGCAUGAUCGCAGGGAGGGUAACCGGAUGAAUUCAGGCCCAGCAGCUCCAGGACAGGGAGAUGAGGCCAGCGUUUCUCCAGAGACCCAGCAUGGCGCAUUCCUCUCUGCGACAAGGGAUCAGUACUGCGGAAACUGGAGCUGCGGGCAGCGGGGAUAGUGGCUUCCUGGUUGUGACGGGUCUUCUCUCACCCGGAGACCCAAAGUUGCUACCUAAGUGAACUUACCCUCCCGCUUACGUGAGAGUGUGUUCCAUGGACACAGCCUAGCAGGAAGAUGCAGCCUUUUAUGUCUCACUGGCUGCUGACCCACCAGUCGGAUGACAGCAUCCCUGCGGGCUUUCCUGUUUCAGUUCCGGCAGCCCUUGGUCAGUGGCCUCUCACCGUCAGGAGCAGCCCGUACAUCAGCAGCAGGGUGGCCGCCAGCAACAAGCUCGUGCUCUCCAGCAACCACAUCAGCACAGUCAUCAGCCUCUUGGGGGAGACGGUGAGCACCUAAUCUGAGGACAUCCACUACGUGCAGGAGCCUGUGGACGACACACCUACUUCGCAGCUCGACACCGCCCCCCCCACCCCGCCCCCAGCAGACCGCAUCACAAGGUGGAGAGGAAGCAGGGCCGUACCCUGCCACAAUGUGCUGUUGGCUGAGCCCCUCUGCCACCCU